Molecule: ribosomal RNA, 253 nt
Filed under: uncultured bacterium
Lineage: Bacteria
Description: partial 16S ribosomal RNA
Rfam family: Bacterial small subunit ribosomal RNA
Source: RNAcentral
UACGUAGGGUGCAAGCGUUAAUCGGAAUUACUGGGCGUAAAGCGUGCGCAGGCGGUUAUAUAAGACAGAUGUGAAAUCCCCGGGCUCAACCUGGGAACUGCAUUUGUGACUGCAAGGCUAGAGUACGGCAGAGGGGGAUGGAAUUCCGCGUGUAGCAGUGAAAUGCGUAGAUAUGCGGAGGAACACCGAUGGCGAAGGCAAUCCCCUGGGCCUGUACUGACGCUCAUGCACGAAAGCGUGGGGAGCAAACAGG